GCACAACGCGAAGAACCUUACCAGGUCUUGACAUCCCGCUGACCGUCCUAGAGAUAGGGCUUCCCUUCGGGGCAGCGGUGACAGGUGGUGCAUGGUUGUCGUCAGCUCGUGUCGUGAGAUGUUGGGUUAAGUCCCGCAACGAGCGCAACCCUUAUCUUUAGUUGCCAGCAUUCAGUUGGGCACUCUAGAGAGACUGCCGUCGACAAGACGGAGGAAGGCGGGGAUGACGUCAGAUCAUCAUGCCCCUUAUGACCUGGGCUACACACGUGCUACAACGGCUGGUACAACGGGACGCAAGCCCGCGAGGGUAAGCCAAUCUCUUAAAACCAGUCUCAGUUCGGAUUGCAGGCUGCAACUCGCCUGCAUGAAGUCGGAAUCGCUAGUAAUCGCGAAUCAGAAUGUCGCGGUGAAUACGUUCCCGGGUCUUGUACACACCG
RNAcentral lists this ribosomal RNA (437 nucleotides) under uncultured bacterium. Its description in RNAcentral is "bacterial SSU rRNA". It matches the Rfam family "Bacterial small subunit ribosomal RNA", at positions 954 to 1392 of the family's 1533-position model. The record is from RNAcentral.